RNAcentral lists this non-coding RNA (182 nucleotides) under Capsicum annuum. RNAcentral's name for it is "Bacterial small subunit ribosomal RNA". It matches the Rfam family "Bacterial small subunit ribosomal RNA", at positions 570 to 751 of the family's 1533-position model. The record is from Rfam by way of RNAcentral. Lineage: Eukaryota; Viridiplantae; Streptophyta; Magnoliopsida; Solanales; Solanaceae.
UGUAGGUGGCUUUUUAAGUCCGCCGUCAAAUCCCAAGGCUCAACCCUGGACAGGUGGUGGAAACUACCAAGCUGAAGUACAGUAGGGGCAGAGGGAAUUUUCGGUGGAGUGGUGAAAUGCGUAGAGAUCGAAAAUUGGACUUAUUUGAUUAAUUUAUUAGUUAUGAUAAAAUUAGAUUUAGA